Molecule: long non-coding RNA, 505 nt
Organism: Xenia sp. Carnegie-2017
Lineage: Eukaryota; Metazoa; Cnidaria; Anthozoa; Malacalcyonacea; Xeniidae
Exons: 3
Source: RefSeq, a predicted model, not a curated record
GAGGAUAUCUUGCUGUUCCAAAGAACAAGGCAGAGAAUAUUGCCCUUUCAAGAAUUAUGAUAAAACUACGCCAUACGAAUGUGUUUAUUGGGUUUUUUCGUAAGAAAAGCGACAAUAAAUUCUACACAGUUCAAAAUUUCAAGCCCACUUUCACAUUAUGGCAUUAUGGAGAACCUAGUAACAGAAGAUUUGGUGUAGAAGAUUGUGUUGUAAUUCAUCCCAGAAAAUUUAACUUCCGGUGGAAUGACGCUACAUGUGGGUAUCACUUCAAUUUCAUCUGUCAACGCAAGAGACCUAAUUUAAACUAUAUCGGAGGAUGUCAGUCUUUUCCUUGUGGCAAAAAACACUCAUGUAUGAAUAUCCCAGGCUCCUACGAAUGCCUAUGCUCCAUUGGAUACAAACCUGACAAAUCUAAAAUGAAAUGUAUCGGCAUAUACAGACAACGGCGUCGGCUUUGGAAUCGGCGUCGGCGCAUUGGGCCAUUGAGGAGAUUGCCUUUGAUUGC